GACGAACGCUGGCGGCGUGCCUAAUACAUGCAAGUUGAGCGCUGAAGGUUGGUACUUGUACCAACUGGAUGAGCAGCGAACGGGUGAGUAACGCGUGGGGAAUCUGCCUUUGAGCGGGGGACAACAUUUGGAAACGAAUGCUAAUACCGCAUAAAAACUUUAAACACAAGUUUUAAGUUUGAAAGAUGCAAUUGCAUCACUCAAAGAUGAUCCCGCGUUGUAUUAGCUAGUUGGUGAGGUAAAGGCUCACCAAGGCGAUGAUACAUAGCCGACCUGAGAGGGUGAUCGGCCACAAUGGGAAUGAGACACGGCCCAAACUCCUACGGGAGGCAGCAGGAGGGAAUCUUCGGCAAUGGACGAAAGUCUGAACGAGCAACGCCGCGGGAGGGAAGAAGGUUUUCGGAUCGUAAAACUCUGUUGGUAGAGAAGAACGUUGGUGAGAGUGGAAAGCUCAUCAAGUGACGGUAACUACCCAGAAAGGGACGGCUAACUACGUG
This 497-nucleotide ribosomal RNA is filed under the name uncultured bacterium. Its description in RNAcentral is "partial 16S ribosomal RNA". It matches the Rfam family "Bacterial small subunit ribosomal RNA", at positions 28 to 507 of the family's 1533-position model. The record is from RNAcentral.